CAGCAUCCGCGGUAAUACGUAGGGUGCGAGCGUUGUCCGGAAUUACUGGGCGUAAAGAGCUCGUAGGUGGUUUGUCGCGUUGUUCGUGAAAACUCACAGCUUAACUGUGGGCGUGCGGGCGAUACGGGCAGACUAGAGUACUGCAGGGGAGACUGGAAUUCCUGGUGUAGCGGUGGAAUGCGCAGAUAUCAGGAGGAACACCGGUGGCGAAGGCGGGUCUCUGGGCAGUAACUGACGCUGAGGAGCGAAAGCGUGGGGAGCGUACAGGAUUAGAUACCCUGGUAGUCCACGCCGUAAACGGUGGGUACUAGGUGUGGGUUCCUUUCCUUGGGAUCCGUGCCGUAGCUAACGCAUUAAGUACCCCGCCUGGGGAGUACGGCCGCAAGGCUAAAACUCAAAGGAAUUGACGGGGGCCCGCACAAUCGUCGGAGCAUGUGGAUUAAUUCGAUGCAACGCGAAGAACCUUACCUGGGUUUGACAU
This 481-nucleotide ribosomal RNA is filed under the name uncultured organism. RNAcentral's name for it is "SSU rRNA". It matches the Rfam family "Bacterial small subunit ribosomal RNA", at positions 509 to 987 of the family's 1533-position model. The record is from RNAcentral.